This 512-nucleotide ribosomal RNA is filed under the name uncultured bacterium. RNAcentral's name for it is "partial 16S ribosomal RNA". It matches the Rfam family "Bacterial small subunit ribosomal RNA", at positions 28 to 507 of the family's 1533-position model. The record is from RNAcentral.
GAUGAACGCUGGCGGCGUGCCUAAUACAUGCAAGUCGAACGGAACUUCUUUAUCACCGUGUGCUUGCACUCACCGAUACGGGGGUGAGUCGCGAACGGGAGCGGAACACGUGGGCAACAUGACCUAAAGAGGGGGAUAACACUAGGAGACAGGUGCUCAUGCCGCAUAAUCAUGGUUACCGCGUGGUAGCUAUGUAAAAGGUGGCUAUACUACCGCAGUUGGUUGGGCGCGCGGCGUCUUAGCUAGGUGGUAGGGUUAAGGCUUACCAAGGCAAUGAUGGGUAGACGAAGGCAUAGGUGGAUCGGCCACAUUGGGAGUUAGACACGGCCCUUACGCCUACGGGAGGCAGCAGUAUGGUACCUUCCACAAUGGUCGAAAGUCUGAUGGAGCAACGCCGCGUGUGUUAAGAAGGUCUUCGGAGCGUAAUGCCCGGUUUUGAGUGAAGAAAGGCCGUGGGAGUUACUGAUCACGGUGUGACGGUAUCGAACAAGAAAGCACCGGCUAACUACGUG